This 232-nucleotide long non-coding RNA is filed under the name Capsicum annuum. Its description in RNAcentral is "long non-coding RNA (CANN_LNC003188)". The record is from RNAcentral. Lineage: Eukaryota; Viridiplantae; Streptophyta; Magnoliopsida; Solanales; Solanaceae.
CUACAACAACAACAACAACAACAACAAACCCAGUGUAUUCCCACCUAGUGGGGUCUGGGGGGGGUAAGAUGUACGCAGUCCAUACCUCUACCUCUGAUGAAGUAGAAAGGUUGUUUUCGAUAGACCCCCGGCUCAAGGCACGAGAUACCACACAAACACAUAGUAAAGCAUAGAAGCAGAUUACAUAACAUAAAUACGGCACCCAUAAGUAAUAUAAAACAGAGGAAAGCAG